RNAcentral lists this small nuclear RNA (104 nucleotides) under Ursus americanus (American black bear). Lineage: Eukaryota; Metazoa; Chordata; Mammalia; Carnivora; Ursidae. The record is from RNAcentral.
GUGCUUGCUUUGGCAGCACAUAUACUAAAAUUGGAACGAUACAGAGAUUAGCAUGGCCCCUGCGCAAGGAUGACACACAAAUUUGGGAAGCGUUCCAUAUUUUU